This 367-nucleotide ribosomal RNA is filed under the name uncultured Pseudomonas sp. RNAcentral describes it as "bacterial SSU rRNA". It matches the Rfam family "Bacterial small subunit ribosomal RNA", at positions 1017 to 1382 of the family's 1533-position model. The record is from RNAcentral. Lineage: Bacteria; Pseudomonadati; Pseudomonadota; Gammaproteobacteria; Pseudomonadales; Pseudomonadaceae.
CUUCUUCGGACAAUAGUACGAAGUGCUGCGAUGGUUGUCGUCAGCUCGUGCCGUGAGUGUCGGGUUAAGUCCCGUAACGAGCGCAACCCUUGUCCUUAGUUACCAGCACGUUAUGGUGGGCACUCUAAGGAGACUGCCGGUGACAAACCGGAGGAAGGUGGGGAUGACGUCAAGUCAUCAUGGCCCUUACGGCCUGGGCUACACACGUGCUACAAUGGUCGGUACAAAGGGUUGCCAAGCCGCGAGGUGGAGCUAAUCCCAUAAAACCGAUCGUAGUCCGGAUCGCAGUCUGCAACUCGACUGCGUGAAGUCGGAAUCGCUAGUAAUCGUGAAUCAGAAUGUCACGGUGAAUACGUUCCCGGGCCUU